UAUGGAUAGGUUUCAUGUCUCAUUUAGGA
This 29-nucleotide non-coding RNA is filed under the name Mus musculus (house mouse). Lineage: Eukaryota; Metazoa; Chordata; Mammalia; Rodentia; Muridae. The record is from RNAcentral.